Long non-coding RNA from Vicia villosa (hairy vetch), 947 nucleotides. RefSeq lists it as uncharacterized. The record is from RefSeq and is a predicted model, not a curated record. Lineage: Eukaryota; Viridiplantae; Streptophyta; Magnoliopsida; Fabales; Fabaceae. The transcript has 4 exons.
ACUAGAAGGUGAGGGUUUUUUCAAGGUGUAUGCUCUAUUAACAUCAGCUAAAUUAAACACGAAUAGGAAUGAUUAGCAUUCACAACUCAAAGUAGAAUCAUUGAAGGAGAAGUGUAUGAAUGAGUAACACUAAAUCUCAUUGAGAGUUAAAGAAUGAGGGAAUAAGCUGUAACAACUUUGUAACUGAAAUGCUAGAAAUGCGGAUGGUGAUAUAACUAACUCAACAUAACUAUCAAACUCUUGCAGGUGAUUUUCAUCCCUUUGCGAACCAGAAACUUCGUUAGGGUUUCCUUUUGCUUUUUUCACUCCCAUCAACCUCUCGUUCUCUUCUCUCUCUGCAACUCACGGUUUCUCUAGAUCGUAACUCUCGUUGCAUUCUAUUUUCAACACUCGCAGCUCUAGCUUCUUGUCCUCUCCUUUCACUUGAUCGCAACGCUCAUUCUGCCGCGCGCGAUUUGCAACACUUGUAGCUCUAGCUUCUUGUCCUCUCCUUUGUGGUUCUUCAAUUAAGGUUAUAAUGGCAUUUAUUCAACCCUCUAGAGUUAUUUCUUCAUUUGCAGCUUUGGCCGUUCUCAUGAUGUUCAUCACAUAUGCUGCACUUACAUAUAUCCAUACCAUCCCUUAUCUGUUCGCAUUCAUCACAUCCGCGGGGUCUUUUUUGCAUUUUAUUCCAAUCAUCAGCUACAACGAGGACGAUUUCAUGACCAACUAUUUUGUGAAAAAUGGUCUGUUUUAUCUUUUCUUGUCCAUAAUGCUCAUGGUCUAUGGCUACUAUAGUGUUGUUGUUAUGUAAGUCUUACAAUUGGCCCGUUUUACUAACACUCUUCUAUUACUAAUGAAAUUUAAAGUGACAAAGUUUGUCUGUCUUUCUAUUCACAUCUUCUAAAUUAUAACUAUUAAUUAGGAAAGUCUUUUGAAGGCCAAGCUUCAAAACUUGAAAAAUCUAA